GGGGUCGACCGGAAUUGACAGGAUGGAGAUAAGUAAGUAAGCAUGCAGCGCGUUGGGUGAAUUAGCGCUUAAAUCUGAACGCUCAAACUUACAAAUGGCGAAAAUACUUACGCCUUAGCUGCUUAAUUUAGAAUUUAGCAAGCUUUUGUCCCGCCGGUUUUCCGUUUCAUCGGAUCGGCACCAGGGGCAUCGAAAGAUGAAAAUAGCCUGCUUAAUGGUGUGCAUAGCUGGCGAAACAAAGCACCUAAGGAAGACGGUACAGGCAAGCAACUGGCCUUCCCCUUCCCUACAAUUAAACAGAAGCUAAGCAUGUAGAAAGCUUACCUUAUACCAUGUUUGGACGAGGGUUCGAAUCCCUCCGGCUCCACCC
Molecule: non-coding RNA, 370 nt
Organism: Mucilaginibacter mallensis
Lineage: Bacteria; Pseudomonadati; Bacteroidota; Sphingobacteriia; Sphingobacteriales; Sphingobacteriaceae
Rfam family: transfer-messenger RNA
About the family: Bacterial tmRNA, also known as 10Sa RNA or SsrA, is named for its dual tRNA and mRNA-like properties.
Source: Rfam